GGGGAGAUAUUGCACCUUGAAAAUCCUAGUGCAUUUAUGAAGUACAGGCAGCUUGAAGCAGAUUAUUAACUAUCUCAAAAGACUAAGGGUCGACAAUUGCUGCUCAACCAUUUUGGAAUGUUCUACAUGGUUCCCAAAAAAAUUAAUUCUGAAGAUUGUCUUUAGGCCCGUCGGAGUUCGCCACAUGGUAGAUGGUGAGAAUUCUCAAGGCAUCCCUUGCGAAUGGUUCAU
Molecule: long non-coding RNA, 231 nt
Filed under: Elaeis guineensis (African oil palm)
Lineage: Eukaryota; Viridiplantae; Streptophyta; Magnoliopsida; Arecales; Arecaceae
Description: long non-coding RNA (EGUI_LNC003004)
Source: RNAcentral